AAAAGAAAAGAAAAGAAAUAAAACUCAAAGAUAGCAAUGGAAAAAAAGGGGGUUAAACAACAGGUAGAAGAAUUAUUUGUGGCUGCUGCUAUUGAAGCAUGAGGUGUGGCGUUUCCAGAAGAAACAAACAGAUCUCCUCAUCGCCUUUUAUAAGCAUAGAAUUACAAAGUUAGAAGCAGCCAUGCAGGAGGCACAACAGAUGGUGACCAGCCAGGAAAAAGAGCUGUCAGUCUUAAAGAAGGAAAAUGGAGAACUGAAGAAAUGUCUUGCCAUUCUAAAGGUGAAUGAAACAGGUUUUCCUUACUAGUAUUCUUUCUUCUACUUUUCCCAUCUGUCU
RNAcentral lists this long non-coding RNA (337 nucleotides) under Ursus americanus (American black bear). RNAcentral describes it as "lncRNA (ENSUAMG00000024469.1)". The record is from RNAcentral. Lineage: Eukaryota; Metazoa; Chordata; Mammalia; Carnivora; Ursidae.